UGAAUUUGGACUAGAAAUAAUAUUAGGUAGUGUAAAAUCCAAGAAAGACCAUUAUUACAUACAUUCUUAAACCACUUUUAGGAUAGUUUGGAGAUGGUUGAGCUAAUGUAGGAAAAAAAUUGAUAUGAUUAAGGAUUUCAUGAGUGAAAUUCUUGUGCCAUAUUGUCUAAGGCGAAUAAGAUAAAAAUUAGGGGAAAAUUUUAAGUUAGAGAUCAGGUUUUGAGAACGAGUGUUUAAUGAGGGGUAUUGUACUAAUCAUAGCAAAAAAGAAGAAAAAAAGUUCUCAUUGUGAAACAUAUUUUCACAACAUUUAUGACUCGAGUGAUUAAGUUUGCAAGAAGAUUUGAAACUUGAUGCCUUGAAAGUCAUCGGCUAAAAAUUUGCUGCAAGGGUUAUUUAAAAAGUUUAAUGGAGAGAAAUCCAAACAUAAGAGUUGAUUUAAAAAAUCGUACUAUAUAUUUUGAUUAAGUUCCAAACACUUGUUUGAAAGAACUAAACAUUUAAUAAAAGAUAAUUAAACUAAUUAAGUUUUAGAAGUUGGAGUAGUCAAAAUAUAGUUGUGGAAGUGUUUAACUGUUACUAGUGACAUCCAUCCAUUCUAGAGAGUACGUGAGAACUGGGAUCAUUUGAAAUUCAACCUAGGAUCACACCUUGAGAGAAGAGUGAAAAUAAUAAGUUUGAGGGUGUUUAUCUCAUAAGUGAAUAAAGGAGACAUUUGACCAAUGAGGGUUGGGAAUUGAACCAAGCAUGAGUUUGUGAUGUUUUACAUAAGUCUUCACACACACACACGUACAAACACGUCGUGUUUUGCAUUGAAUAGGUAUUCGUAUUGACAUAGAAAUUUCAAUCUUGAGACCAACAACAUUUUAUUUAACCAAUUGUGUUUCAAUGAAUUAUGCUAUAAUUCGUUUGAGGACAAAAAAAUGUUCGAGUUUGGGAGUGUUUGAUAAGUGUAUUUUGUACACCUAUAUAGAUAGUUAAAUUGAAAUAUUUGUAGAUGAUUUUUAUGAAAUAUGAUUUAAUUCUAUCAAGUUAUAUUUCAUAGGUAACUAUCGAAAAUCUUGGUAGAAUUGGAGGAAAACAGACAAAAGGGAUAAACUGCAUCAAAUUCUAAGUUCGGAGACUAAAGUGCAACAAAUGAAAAGUUGGAUCGGACAUCGUUGCAAAGAUUCAAGAGUUCUAAAAGGCAUUUAGAAGAGAAGAGACAGUAAUGGGACGAAAAGGAAUGAAGAAGGAACAAAAUUCACGUUCAAAAAAGUUUAAGGACCACAUUGUAAAAUUUGACCCCCAAUUAGACCCAUGCUAUCGCCAAAAUACCGUGUGAUUGCGUGGGUGGUGCAAAGAUUUAUAGAGGCAAAAAUUCUUUAAACCAUGCGAUCGCGAGCCUUAUAGUCAUGAUCGCAUGGCUUUGCGACUGGGGAAUUUUUUUUUCCUUUUUCUUUAUUCGGCAAGUUUUAAUAUGGUAUCUUUUGCAUUCUUUAGAACCUAGAAUCCGUCUAGAAUGUAAAAAAGAGAGUUUUUCUCAUAGAAUUGAGGCUAGCAAGGAGUGAACAAGAGAUUCUACAAUAAGAUUUAAAGUUCCAUAACUUGAAAUGAAGAUUGAAGUGCAAUGAAUCAAGUUUUUAGGCUAUACACCUUUUUGUGUGAGUGUGUGUGUGUCUCUGGUGAUGCCUUUUCAUAUCUUUUUGUUUAAUUUUAAUACAAUAAUGUUAAAUUCAAUUUCUUGUGUAUUGGAUGAAUGAUAAAACCUAUUGAUUAUUGUUUUUAAUUUAAAGGCUUGAGUAAUUUUAGUUAAUUCUUGUGCUCUUGAUUAAAUAUGCAUGACUAUUGUAUUGUUUGAAUGCUUGAUCAUCAUUUAGACAUUUAAUUGUUUAUAUAUAGUAUUGGGAGACUCACAAUAAGUUGAACAUUACAUAAUUUACACACGGACAAUGUGUUAUGAAUGAUAUUUGUGGCAUAUGCAAUUUUAUGUGAUAAGUGCGUGAUUGAAUGCUUUCUUUGCAUAUAUGAAUUUGAAUUAGGAAUAUGAUCGGAUCGUACUUCGGAUAUGUUUAAUAUAUUUUGGAAAACAAAUAUUAGAUAGGGGGAUUAUUGAUUGUCAUGAACACUUGAAGGACACUAACAUACAUGAUUUGAGAAUUGAAAAUAAAGAUCAAUAUGUGGAUUUUGAAAUCCAAAACAUUUAUCAUAUUAUUUGAAAAGAACCAUUUUUUUUUUUAUGAUACAUAGCGUAAGAUAGAAUAAUUAAAAAAUAACCAACUUUUUUGUGUUACGUAGAACGAAUUUGAUAGAAACCCGUAGACUAUAGUUAGCAAUUAUUUCUCAUGGGAAGAUAACUCAAUCCACUAAAUCUAUUACUUGUCAAUGGUUCCGUACGCUUUGAGUUUUAACUCAACGGGGAGCAUGUUAAAAAUAUAAUAUAGAUAUUUUUUUCUUCUUCUUUUUUAAAUUUAUUUUCAUAUACAUAUUUUUUUAAUGAAAUAAUUUUGUAUAUGGUUAUAUAACUUUCUUUAUUUUUUUAACUAUACAAUCUCUAGUAAAUAAAAAAAAAAAAUCACUUUUCAAAUAAAUUAUUCUAAAAAAUCUACUUCGAUGAGGCGUACAUACUUUAAUUUUGUCCAAAAAAAUAAACCAUAAUUUGAUAGAAAAAUUAAAUUUAAAAAUAUUAGAGUUUUACUAAUGGUAUAAUGUUUCUCCCAAAAUGUGUUUUACACUCUUUUGAUGAAAGAGAUAUUAAGUCGUCUUCAACACUCUUUAUAGAGGUUGAUAUCUCGACACAAGCCAUCCCUUCUUAACAAAUGGAAAGACGGUUACUCAUUUUUUAUGACAUUGUCCCUUGUGUGACAAUCAAAAGUAUAUUGUAAGGGACGGCUCUAGCACAACCGUGUUUUGAUAUCAUGGAGUAGUCUAGAACAGAUCUUUAACAAUGGAUAAUCUCAUUGGCUGCGCAUACAAUUUAUUUUAUUUCUUUGGAUGUUUCAUCAGAUUUUGUGAGAAGUCAUAUAGUGAAAAUUACACAAGAGUUUUGCGCACAUUCCAAUUGCAUUACACAUUUCAUACUCGGUCCUAGCUUUUGGGCAAGAGCAAAGACACAAGCGGUAUGAAAGAAAUCAAGGGCUUUAACGGUUGAUGAUAAAUACCAUGGUCUAAAACUCCUUUUUACUACUUAAAACAAAUGCGGCAUUUCUUGGUACGAGCAAUUUCCAUUGUUUACUUCUUUCUUGCGGACUUGGAAUUUCGAAACCAAUACUAUAUUAAAGGUUGGCCUAGAUAUUCUUAUAUACAUAUGCAGUAUAAGGUGUAGUUGACUUUGUCCUUCGUUUAUGCCUUAUUUCCGACUUGGAGAGAGGGCUCUAAAGAUUCUUUGCUGUUGGACUAGAAAGAGGAUUAAUANNN
RNAcentral lists this long non-coding RNA (3396 nucleotides) under Olea europaea (common olive). Its description in RNAcentral is "long non-coding RNA (OEUR_LNC002589)". Lineage: Eukaryota; Viridiplantae; Streptophyta; Magnoliopsida; Lamiales; Oleaceae. The record is from RNAcentral.